Molecule: ribosomal RNA, 687 nt
Filed under: Bacillus haynesii
Lineage: Bacteria; Bacillati; Bacillota; Bacilli; Caryophanales; Bacillaceae
Description: bacterial SSU rRNA
Rfam family: Bacterial small subunit ribosomal RNA
Source: RNAcentral
GGGGAGGCGCUGCCUAAUAAUGCAAGUCGAGCGGACAGAUGGGAGCUUGCUCCCUGAUGUCAGCGGCGGACGGGUGAGUAACACGUGGGUAACCUGCCUGUAAGACUGGGAUAACUCCGGGAAACCGGGGCUAAUACCGGAUGCUUGAUUGAACCGCAUGGUUCAAUUAUAAAAGGUGGCUUUUAGCUACCACUUACAGAUGGACCCGCGGCGCAUUAGCUAGUUGGUGAGGUAACGGCUCACCAAGGCAACGAUGCGUAGCCGACCUGAGAGGGUGAUCGGCCACACUGGGACUGAGACACGGCCCAGACUCCUACGGGAGGCAGCAGUAGGGAAUCUUCCGCAAUGGACGAAAGUCUGACGGAGCAACGCCGCGUGAGUGAUGAAGGUUUUCGGAUCGUAAAACUCUGUUGUUAGGGAAGAACAAGUACCGUUCGAAUAGGGCGGUACCUUGACGGUACCUAACCAGAAAGCCACGGCUAACUACGUGCCAGCAGCCGCGGUAAUACGUAGGUGGCAAGCGUUGUCCGGAAUUAUUGGGCGUAAAGCGCGCGCAGGCGGUUUCUUAAGUCUGAUGUGAAAGCCCCCGGCUCAACCGGGGAGGGUCAUUGGAAACUGGGGAACUUGAGUGCAGAAGAGGAGAGGCAAUUCCGCGUGUAGGGUAAAAUGCGUAGAGAAUGUGAAGGA